CGAAAGCCUGACGGAGCAACGCCGCGUGAGGGAUGAAGGCCUCUGGGCUGUAAACCUCUUUUAUCAAGGAAGAAGAUCUGACGGUACUUGAUGAAUAAGCCACGGCUAAUUCCGUGCCAGCAGCCGCGGUAAUACGGGAGUGGCAAGCGUUAUCCGGAAUUAUUGGGCGUAAAGCGUCCGCAGGCGGCCCAACAAGUCUGCUGUUAAAAAGUGGAGCUUAACUCCAUCAUGGCAGUGGAAACUGUUGGGCUCGAGUGUGGUAGGGGCAGAGGGAAUUCCCGGUGUAGCGGUGAAAUGCGUAGAUAUCGGGAAGAACACCAGUGGCGAAGGCGCUCUGCUGGGCCAUCACUGACGCUCAUGGACGAAAGCCAGGGGAGCG
This 379-nucleotide ribosomal RNA is filed under the name uncultured cyanobacterium. Its description in RNAcentral is "bacterial SSU rRNA". It matches the Rfam family "Bacterial small subunit ribosomal RNA", at positions 376 to 770 of the family's 1533-position model. Lineage: Bacteria; Bacillati; Cyanobacteriota. The record is from RNAcentral.